GAUGAAGAACGUAGCGAAAUGCGAUAAGUAAUGUGAAUUGCAGAAUUCAGUGAAUCAUCGAAUCUUUGAACGCACAUUGCGCCCCCUGGUAUUCCGGGGGGCAUGCCUGUUCGAGCGUCAUUUCAACCCUCAAGCCCCCCUGGCUUGGUGUUGGACGGUUUUGGUGGGACGUGCAGCCUCUCACCCCUCCUAAAGACAAUGACGGCGGCGUCGUUGGAACCCCCGGUACACUGAGCUUCUUAACUGAGCACGUACUGGAUGCGGGUACGCGAUGCACGGUCUGCCUCCCCUUUAGGGAGAACUUUUUCUUAAGGUUGACCUCGGAUCAGGUAGGAAUACCCGCUGAACUUAAGCAUAUCAAUAAGCGGAGGA
This 372-nucleotide unclassified non-coding RNA is filed under the name soil metagenome. RNAcentral describes it as "partial contains 5.8S ribosomal RNA, internal transcribed spacer 2, and large subunit ribosomal RNA". The stretch from base 1 to 120 matches the Rfam family "5.8S ribosomal RNA", at positions 35 to 154 of the family's 154-position model. The record is from RNAcentral.